RNAcentral lists this transfer RNA (76 nucleotides) under Pantoea sp. Pent. Its description in RNAcentral is "tRNA-Thr". It matches the Rfam family "tRNA". Rfam says of the family: Transfer RNA (tRNA) molecules are approximately 80 nucleotides in length. The record is from RNAcentral. Lineage: Bacteria; Pseudomonadati; Pseudomonadota; Gammaproteobacteria; Enterobacterales; Erwiniaceae.
GCCGGUAUAGCUCAGUUGGUAGAGCAGCGCAUUCGUAAUGCGAAGGUCGCAGGUUCGACUCCUGUUUCCGGCACCC